This 460-nucleotide ribosomal RNA is filed under the name uncultured bacterium. RNAcentral's name for it is "partial 16S ribosomal RNA". It matches the Rfam family "Bacterial small subunit ribosomal RNA", at positions 338 to 795 of the family's 1533-position model. The record is from RNAcentral.
GCUACGGGAGGCAGCAGUGAGGAAUAUUGGUCAAUGGACGAGAGUCUGAACCAGCCAAGUAGCGUGAAGGAUGACUGCCCUAUGGGUUGUAAACUUCUUUUAUAAAGGAAUAAAACGAGGCACGUGUGCCUUUUUGCAUGUACUUUAUGAAUAAGGAUCGGCUAACUCCGUGCCAGCAGCCGCGGUAAUACGGAGGAUCCGAGCGUUAUCCGGAUUUAUUGGGUUUAAAGGGAGCGUAGAUGGGUUGUUAAGUCAGUUGUGAAAGUUUGCGGCUCAACCGUAAAAUUGCAAUUGAUACUGGCAGCCGUGAGUACAGUUGAGGGAGGCGGAAUUCGUGGUGUAGCGGUGAAAUGCUUAGAUAUCACGAAGAACUCCGAUUGCGAAGGCAGCUUUCUAAACUGCCACUGACAUUGAUGCUCGAAAGUGUGGGUAUCAAACAGGAUUAGAUACCCGUGUAGUC